AUGCGAUAAGUAAUGUGAAUUGCAGAAUUCAGUGAAUCAUCGAAUCUUUGAACGCACCUUGCGCUCCUUGGUAUUCCGAGGAGCAUGCCUGUUUGAGUGUCAUUAAAUUCUCAACCUCACCAGUUUUCUGAACUGUGUCGAGGCUUGGAUGUGGGGGUUUGUGCAGGCUGCCUCAGCGCGGUCUGCUCCCCUGAAAUGCAUUAGCGAGUUCAUACUGAGCUCCGUCUAUUGGUGUGAUAAUUAUCUACGCCGUUGGUCGGGUUUAGACUUGCUUCUAACCGUCCGCAAGGACAACUCUUUGACAAUUUGACCUCAAAUCAGGUAGGACUACCCGCUGAACUUAA
This 344-nucleotide unclassified non-coding RNA is filed under the name uncultured Coprinellus. RNAcentral's name for it is "partial contains 5.8S ribosomal RNA, internal transcribed spacer 2, and large subunit ribosomal RNA". The stretch from base 1 to 102 matches the Rfam family "5.8S ribosomal RNA", at positions 53 to 154 of the family's 154-position model. Lineage: Eukaryota; Fungi; Basidiomycota; Agaricomycetes; Agaricales; Psathyrellaceae. The record is from RNAcentral.